GCUUGGUCCUGGCCUUACCAUCAACUGUUACUUAACUUACACAUGCAAGUAUCCGCACACCCGUGAAAAUGCCCUCACCUCUCAGACAGAAUGAGGAGCCGGUAUCAGGCACAAACACCCGCCCAUGACACCUAGCUUCGCCACACCCCCAAGGGCCCCCAGCAGUGAUAAACAUUGUUAAUUAGCGCCAGCUUGACCCAGUUAAAGUAAUGAGGGCCGGCCAACUCGGUGCCAGCCGCCGCGGCUACCCCGCUCGGCCCAAGUUGAUGCCCUCGGCGUUAAGCGUGAUUAAAGUGAUACAAAUAUUAAAAUUAAACCCAGCCAAGUUGUCAAACACUCGCCCGCAGAAACCCACACACGAAAGUUAUUCUAAUACACUUGAACCCACGACAGUUGGGGCACAAACUGGGAUCAGAUACCCCACUAUGCCCAACCGUAAAAUAUUAACUUACACCCCCCCCCGCCAGAGAACUACGAGCCCAAUCUUAAAACUCAAAGGACUUGACGGUGCCCCACCCACCUAGAGGAGCCUGUUCUAUAAUCGACACCCCCCGCUACACCUUACCACUUCUAGCAUAUCAGUCUGUAUACCUCCGUCACAAGCCCACCGUAUGAACGCUCAUAGGGGGCUAAAAGAUUCCCCAUCAACACGUCAGGUCAAGGUGCAACUUACGGACUGGAAAGCAAUGGGCUACAAUUUCUACAUUAGAACACACGAAAAACUGCAUGCAACACAGUCAUUGAAGGUGGAUUUAGCAGUAAAAAGAAAACAGAGAGUUCUUUUAAAUUAGGCGCUGGGGCGCGCACACACCGCCCGUCACCCUCUUCAAAUGCCAACAGCAUUAGAAGAGGCAAGUCGUAACAUGGUAAGUGUACUGGAAAGUGCACUUGGAUAACAAAAUGUAGCUUAUCUUAAAGCAUCUCGCUUACACCGAGAUAGAUGUCCCUAGCAGACCAUUUUGAGCCAGAUCCUCAGCCCACACACACAUCACCCAAUACACGAUAAGACAAAACAUUCUCAUCAUUAAGUAAAGGCGAUUGAAAAAUGACUAGGAGCCAUAACGAUAGUACCGCAAGGGAAACAUGAAAUAAAAUGAAAAAAUUAAAGUAUAACAAAGCAGAGCUCCUACCUCGUACCUUUUGCAUCAUGGUCUAGCCAGUCUAACCAAGCAAAGCGCCCCUUAAGUUUGACCCCCCGAAACUAGGCGAGCUACUUUUAAACAGCCUUACGAGCCAACCCAUCCCCGUAGCAGAGGGGCGGGAAGAUUUAAAAGUAGAGGCGACACACCUAUCGAGCCUAGAGAUAGCUGGUUAUUUAGGAAAAGGAUUCAAGUCCACCUUUAAGUUUUUCCUAGUACACUUAAACUUCAAACAAACUUAAAAGUCAUUCAAAUAAGGUACAGCCUAUUUGAACAAGGAAACAGCCUGCAGCAAGGGUAACGACCACUCCAUGUGACGAGGUAGGCCUAAGAGCAGCCAACCUUUAAAAAGCGUCCAAGCUUUACCACCAUUCAUCAUCAAUCCCACCAUCAACUCGCAACCCCAAACCACUACUAAAUAACCCCAUACCUGUAUGGGGAAUAUAAUGCUAGAACUAGUAACAAGAAGAAGAACUUCUCCUGAAUACAAACAUAGGCCACAAUGAACCAUUCACUGGCACUUACCGCUGCUAAGCCCACAGUAAUAACACCACAAGAAAACCCUACCCCACUCAGCGUUAACCUAACACCAGACUAUUACAGGAAGGAUUAAAAAAGGGGGAAGGAACUCGGCAAAUAUUAGCUCCGCCUGUUUACCAAAAACAUCGCCUCUUGACAAACUAUGAGAGGUCCAGCCUGCCCAGUGACAAAGUUAAACGGCCGCGGUACCCUAACCGUGCGAAGGUAGCAUAAUCACUUGUUCUUUAAAUCAGGACUAGUAUGAACGGCCUCACGAGAGCUAUACUGUCUCCCCCCUUCAAUCAGUGAAACUGAUCUCCUCGUGAAGAAGCGAGGAUAGUCAUAUAAGACGAGAAGACCCCGUGGAACUUAAAACUUGCACCACUGCCCCCAUACCACAUCCAAAUAAUUCGGACAGCAUGGCAGCGAGUCUUUCGGCUGGGGCGACCGCGGAGAAAAAUAAAACCCCCGUGAUGAAAGGAACACCCUAAUCAAAGAGCUACCGCUCUAAGAAUCAAUAAAUUGACACAUUGACCCAAACAUUUUUUUGAUCAACGAACCAAGUUACCCCGGGGAUAACAGCGCAAUCCAUUUCAAGAGACCCCAUCAACAAAUGGG
Molecule: non-coding RNA, 2276 nt
Filed under: Anodonthyla vallani
Lineage: Eukaryota; Metazoa; Chordata; Amphibia; Anura; Microhylidae
Description: partial contains 12S ribosomal RNA, tRNA-Val, and 16S ribosomal RNA
Rfam family: Bacterial small subunit ribosomal RNA (bases 1-904)
Source: RNAcentral